RNAcentral lists this ribosomal RNA (260 nucleotides) under uncultured bacterium. RNAcentral's name for it is "partial 16S ribosomal RNA". It matches the Rfam family "Bacterial small subunit ribosomal RNA", at positions 1066 to 1324 of the family's 1533-position model. The record is from RNAcentral.
CGUGAGAUGUUGGGUUAAGUCCCGCAACGAGCGCAACCCCUAUCCUUUGUUGCCAGCACGCAAUGGUGGGAACUCAAAGGAGACUGCCGCGGACAACGCGGAGGAAGGCGGGGAUGACGUCAAGUCAUCAUGCCCCUUAUGUCCUGGGCUACACACGUACUACAAUGGGAUGGACAGAGAGCAGCGAAGCCGCGAGGCCAAGCGAACCCCAUAAACCAUCUCCCAGUUUCGGAUUGCAGGCUGCAACCCGCCUGCAUGAA